This 1521-nucleotide ribosomal RNA is filed under the name metagenome. RNAcentral describes it as "bacterial SSU rRNA". It matches the Rfam family "Bacterial small subunit ribosomal RNA". The record is from RNAcentral.
GAGUUUGAUCAUGGCUCAGAUUGAACGCUGGCGGCAGGCCUAACACAGGCAAGUCGAACGGUAACAGGAAACAGCUUGCUGUUUCGCUGACGAGUGGCGGACGGGUGAGUAAUGUCUGGGAAACUGCCUGAUGGAGGGGGAUAACUACUGGAAACGGUAGCUAAUACCGCAUAACGUCGCAAGACCAAAGAGGGGGACCUUCGGGCCUCUUGCCAUCAGAUGUGCCCAGAUGGGAUUAGCUAGUAGGUGGGGUAACGGCUCACCUAGGCGACGAUCCCUAGCUGGUCUGAGAGGAUGACCAGCCACACUGGAACUGAGACACGGUCCAGACUCCUACGGGAGGCAGCAGUGGGGAAUAUUGCACAAUGGGCGCAAGCCUGAUGCAGCCAUGCCGCGUGUAUGAAGAAGGCCUUCGGGUUGUAAAGUACUUUCAGCGGGGAGGAAGGGAGUAAAGUUAAUACCUUUGCUCAUUGACGUUACCCGCAGAAGAAGCACCGGCUAACUCCGUGCCAGCAGCCGCGGUAAUACGGAGGGUGCAAGUGUUAAUCGGAAUUACUGGGCGUAAAGCGCACGCAGGCGGUUUGUUAAGUCAGAUGUGAAAUCCCCGGGCUCAACCUGGGAACUGCAUCUGAUACUGGCAAGCUUGAGUCUCGUAGAGGGGGGUAGAAUUCCAGGUGUAGCGGUGAAAUGCGUAGAGAUCUGGAGGAAUACCGGUGGCGAAGGCGGCCCCCUGGACGAUGACUGACGCUCAGGUGCGAAAGCGUGGGGAGCAAACAGGAUUAGAUACCCUGGUAGUCCACGCCGUAAACGAUGUCGACUUGGAGGUUGUGCCCUUGAGGCGUGGCUUCCGGAGCUAACGCGUUAAGUCGACCGCCUGGGGAGUACGGCCGCAAGGUUAAAACUCAAAUGAAUUGACGGGGGCCCGCACAAGCGGUGGAGCAUGUGGUUUAAUUCGAUACAACGCGAAGAACCUUACCUGGUCUUGACAUCCACGGAAGUUUUCAGAGAUGAGAAUGUGCCUUCGGGAACCGUGAGACAGGUGCUGCAUGGCUGUCGUCAGCUCGUGUUGUGAAAUGUUGGGUUAAGUCCCGCAACGAGCGCAACCCUUAUCCUUUGUUGCCAGCGGUCCGGCCGGGAACUCAAAGGAGACUGCCAGUGAUAAACUGGAGGGAGGUGGGGAUGACGUCAAGUCAUCAUGGCCCUUACGACCAGGGCUACACACGUGCUACAAUGGCGCAUACAAAGAGAAGCGACCUCGCGAGAGCAAGCGGACCUCAUAAAGUGCGUCGUAGUCCGGAUUGGAGUCUGCAACUCGACUCCAUGAAGUCGGAAUCGCUAGUAAUCGUGGAUCAGAAUGCCACGGUGAAUACGUUCCCGGGCCUUGUACACACCGCCCGUCACACCAUGGGAGUGGGUUGCAAAAGAAGUAGGUAGCUUAACCUUCGGGAGGGCGCUUACCACUCUGUGGUUCAUGACUGGGGUGAAGUCGGAACAAGGUAACCGUAGGGGAACCUGCGGUUG